AAAAAAAUAAAUUAGUAAAGACUAGAGUAGUAGUUGUUAUAUUCAAAAAACUUAAUAAAUUUGGCGGUAUUUUAUUUUAAUUAGAGGAAUUUGUUUUAUAAUUGAUAAUACCCACUUAAUCUUACUUAAUUUAAUAAAAUUUGUAUAUCGUCGUCAUCAGAAUAUCUUAAAAAAGAAAAAAUUUUCUAAAAUUUAAAAUAUAAAUAAUGUCAGAUCAAGGUGCAAUUUAUAUUUAAGUAAAAAUGAAUUACAAUAAAUAUAUUAUUUAAACGGAUAUAAAUUUUAAAAAUUUUAUUGAAGGUGGAUUUAAUAGUAAAAUAAUAAAAAAACAUUAUUUGACUAUAAACUUAAAAUGUGC
Molecule: ribosomal RNA, 358 nt
Filed under: Nepaletricha sp. DK-2014
Lineage: Eukaryota; Metazoa; Arthropoda; Insecta; Diptera; Rangomaramidae
Description: 12S ribosomal RNA
Source: RNAcentral